Molecule: long non-coding RNA, 9165 nt
Organism: Camelus dromedarius (Arabian camel)
Lineage: Eukaryota; Metazoa; Chordata; Mammalia; Artiodactyla; Camelidae
Exons: 2
Source: RefSeq, a predicted model, not a curated record
GCGCGGCCUUCUGGGAGUUGUAGUCGGGCGGAGGGGUCCGGCCCGCGCAGAGCCGCGUCGCUCACAGUGCGCGAACUACAAGGCUGGCGGCGAGGAGUUCCGCCUCUUUGACAGGCUCCCAGACGCCCACGCGCCUUGCGCCCCUACCGCCGGGUCCGCAGCUCGGCCCGGCCCCCAGGAUGAGCCAGGCGGCCGCCGCGGCUCUGGCCCGCUAGAAGAGGCCCGGUGACCUUGGCCCGGCUCCGGGUUCGAAUCCGCCUCCUCCGCUAGCUGGCUCUGUGACCUUGGGCCUGGCCCCUCGCCCGGGUCCAGGUGACUCCGUGGGACGAGGAUGACCCGCCUCGUAGGCUGGGCGGGUUCCGGAGGGCUCUGGGCCCGGCCGUCGCCGGGUCGGGGUCCGCCCUGGGCGAUGGGGCGGCUGCAGGCCGGCACACCUGGCCUGUAGCUUGGAACGCCUGCCCUAGAGGCGCCCUUCCAAACUCGCUCUCUCCCUGCGGCCCCCUGCAGCCGUCGCCUGGGCUCCUGGUGCCUUGCGACCCUGCAAGGUCCCGGGGGCGUCCAGCCAUUUCUCACAACCUCUCAUUCACCCACCGCGAACCCCGUCAGACCCUCCCAGGCCUUCCAGCGGGGCUGCUGCGCCCGGACCUUCCUCCUUGCUGGGCGCUUUGCCCGUCAUCAGCAAGCCCCAGGUACAGUUCUGCCCUUAGAUCUGGACCACAGGGGUGCCUUGCCUGGGCCCUGCACUCCAGAGGGCCUCACCCAUCACAUACAUUGAGGCAUAAAAGAUGUGUUUUCCCGUCUUUGGUUUCAUGACUGACUACCGGGCAGAGAUGCAGAGGAGAUCGGCACUAGGAUGUAUGCCGCCGCCUUCUAAUCCUCUGACCCGUUCUUCAUGCCGCAAACGGAUGAGCGAAUAUGAUCAGAUCAACCCUCUGCUUAAAGGCUUUCAGACUCCACGUUGUGUGGGCGGAAUAAAGACCUGUCACCCCUCCUGGAGGACUUUGAAUGACCCUGCUGCUGAAGGUGGAGUUUGAGAGGGUGGGUUGGGAUGCCUGUCCUGGCACCCCCCUGGGUGGGCAGUGUUUUGGGCUGCCUCCCUCCCCACACAGGCUGAGUCAGACACUCCCUGCUCCCGCAGCCCCUGUGCUUUCUCUUGUCAGAGCACAUUGUGCUGGACUGGGAUUCUUGGUAUUCACCAGUAUCCCCAGAAACAUGAAGUCAGGGGAUAAAACAUGGCAGUGUCUACCUCCUGCACCUCUGAACCCCAGCUCCUGCCAGGCAAGGGCUGGGCGCAUACCAGUAUUUGCUGGAUGGAUGAAUGACGUAAUCAUGACCACUUGUCAACCAAUUAUGCACCAGCCCUCUGCCUGCUGCUAAAUCAUCUCAUUUAAUCCACACAACCAUUCUCAAGAUAGGCACCAACAGCCAACAGGUGAGAAACUGUACGUUUGUACUUGGUGAGGGCUUUGCCCAGACUCACCCAGAUAGUCAGAGGCAGAGCCCAGAUUUCAACUCAAGUGUGGCUGCAGUGAGACUUUUGGGUUCCAGCAGAGCACAUCGUGAAUCGAUCGGGAGUUCCUCGGGUGGCUGGAGACAGGGGAACCCUCUCUGAAGAGGUGAGCCAGAGCCAGUCACUGUCAGAGCAAAGAACUUUCAGAAAUUCAAGACCCUGGAGCAGGGGAAAGCUCAGCAAAUCCCAGGAACCAACAGCAGCCGUCACAACUGGAGCAAAUGGAAGUGGCAGAAGCCACAUCCUCCAUGUAUGUUGGGUUCUAUUCUAAAUGCAGCUGGGAGCCCUGGAGGGUUUUGAGUAGGGACUUUCAUGGCAGGUUGUACAUUUUUGAGAAAACCCUGGCUGUUAUGUUGAGAGUGGAUAUCAGGGGAGCAAGAUUAGAGGCCGGGACACUUACGACAGCCUCACAGGGUGUGGAGAGGGUGCUCCUAGCAGACAGAAUUAGGAAGAAAAGGCAUAAAGCAGUGGUUCCCAACCUUUGCUUUUCAUCAUCUCCUAAGGAAAAAUUAGUAAGAAAUUAAGGAGAGAAUACUAAGGAAUAAGAUUUUGUCUGGCAGGGUUGAACUUUGGAGGGCCACAAACCAUUGUAGUAUCUACAGGUCUGUUUCUCCCCUUAAGAGUCAAUUUUCACCCCCUUGAGGAAUGUGUUAGUGUUCUCCAGAGAAACAGCUCCAAUAGGAGAUAUCUAUCUAUCUAUCUAUCUAUAGAUUUAUAUAGAUAGAUAGGUAGAUAAAGAUAUAUACCUAUUUAUUUGAAGGACCUGGCUCACACAGUGACGGAAGCUGACACGUCCCAAGACCUGCAGUCAGCAAGCUGGAAACCUCAGAGAGCCCGUGGUGUAGUGCAAGUCCGUGGGCCUGAGACCCCGGAGGGCUGAUGGUGUUGUUCUAGGCCAAAGUCAGCAGGCUUGAGACCCAAGAAGAGCUGUUUCAGUUUGAGUCCAAAGGUAGGAAAAAAAUAACUGAUUCAGCUUGGAGGCACUCAGGCAGCAGUUGUCGUCUUUUUGUUCUAUUCAGGCCUUCAACUGCUUGGAUGGGGAGGGCAGCCUGCUUCACUCAGUCCACCGAUUCCAGGGCUAAUCUCACCCGGAAACACCCUCAGCAGACACAUCCAGAGUCAUGUUUGACCGAAUGUCUGGCCGCCCUAUGGCCCAGCCAAGUUGACCUAAAAUAACCGUCACAAGGGAGAUUCAGGACUUAGGGCCAGAAAGGUCUUUGUAUCCUCGUAACAGUGACGGCAGCUCAGUCUCGCGGGAGCACAGCCGUCAUAGGGAGGGAAGGAGUCAGGCAUGGAGAUGCCACUCCAAGCACCUCGUGGUCCUGGAAGGCUCUCAGAACCACCUUCAGGGAAGGGUGGCAUAUGCUGGGUGUUUCUGUAAAAGUGAAGUUUUAUCACUUUCAUGUGCAGUAAAUAUUAAUCAAGAUAUGAAUACGUACUGGUAACAAGGCAAUUGUAUAAGAAAAAUCAGGUAAGUUCAUGAUCUCACAAUUCAUAACCAGUGAGCAUUACAUAAUAAUGAACCUAGAUAGCCUUUUCUAAUUUCUGACUUUGUUAAGUCUGCAGAAAUGACAGUUGGACACCCCUUCUCAAGCCAUUUCCAUGCCCCAAGCAGCCCCAAGCAAAACUCCAGCAGCGGGCUUCCCCAACCCACGCCACCCUAGCAGAGCACAGAGAAUUCUCUGCAGAAACUACAGUGUGAGAAUGGAUAUGGCCAUAUUCAUGUUUGGGAUCCCAAAGAGUCAGGCAGCUGUUCAUGUGCACCCAAAAUUGAAGCCCUCAGGUCAGAAGCUCUGCUCUGUGGAGCUUCUGAUCAGCCUCUAAGCAUGUCACUUGUAGACAUGAAGGAAAAGUCAAGGAUCACCAGUCAUUUAAGAAAUGGCUCAAGUGCAGAUAUAAAAACGUGUGUGUGAAGGGGAGCAGGCAAAGAAGCUGUUAAUGGAAGGAAUCAAAAUAUUUCUCAAAAACUGCUAAUAGCCUCAGGGACGUUUAAGAAAGGAGUCUUGAAAUUAAAAAUACAGCCAAAAUUGUAAAAGAAAUUCAAUAGAAGGGUUGCAAGAUAAAGUUAAGGAAAUUAUUCAGUAAGUAGAACAAAAAGACACAGAAAAUCAGAGAGAAAUGAGACUUAAAAUCUCAGUCCAUGAGGUCCAACUACUUUCCAAUACGAACUCUAGGGGAAAAAAUAGAGGGAAGUAACUUUUGAAAGAAAUACAAUUUAUCAGAAGUAAGGACUUGAAUGUCCAGAUUGAAAGAGUCCACCAAUGAUGGUGACUGACUGGAGGGAACCAGAGGUAAACAGCCUAAAACAUUCAGAGAGAAAAAAGGAAAUCACAUUUAAAAAAAAAAAAAAAGGCAGGAACACGAAUCUCACUGAGCAAUAACGCUCAUGACGUUCAGUGCCAAGUAGUGGAGGAGCCCUUUACAAUUCUGAAAGAAAAUCACAUACAAGGUAGAAUUGUAUAGUCAGCCAAACUGUCGAUCAUGUAUGGAGACAAAAAAACCCAAUUUUGGACAUUCAAAUUAUCUUUUUCAGGUAAACAGACUAACAUAGUAACAGAAAACCCCUAAAAUUCCAGUAGAUGUAUUUCUCACAAAGGCUGUUAAGUCCCCUUCAUCUUAUAACUGAGGUAGGACUCACCAGGGUCAGGAACUCCGGUGCUCAGUGCGAAGCCCUUAAUGGUGUCCUAAGGGUGGGGAGUGAACCCGCGGUGGACAGAACCCUACCCGCCAGCAACGCAGCCUUCACGUAGUUUAGACCAGAUUAAGGUGAGGAGCACCGGCUCCACUUGCGGGGCAGAGGAAGAUAUCGUCUGUAGCCUCUGCAAUCUUCUAUACACAAGUCAGCUUUCAGUUAAAAUUUUGUAGGCAGGUCAAGACACAGGGCCAUUUUACAGAAAAUAAAAAAGCAGAAGGCUACAAAAGCCCAUAGGUGAGUCACAUAUUGGAGUUAGUAGACAAAGAUAUAUUGUAACAGUAGUUAAUAUGUUUAAGAAAAGAGAAAAAGAUGUAAAAAACAGAUGAAAGAAUGGAGAAUUUCACCCAAGAAUUGAAAUCUAUAAGAAGAUUAACUAGAACUGAAAAAUAAAGUAACUGAAAUUAAGACUUCAAUAAAUUAAUAGGUGAGACAUAGUACAUGAAAGGAUUAAUAAUUAGAAGAAAAUUCAAUAUAAAACAACUAGCACAGAGAGAAAAAAACUGAUAAAACAGCGAAGAGAACAGAAAACAGAUGACACAGCUCAAAGUUUAAAUGCACGCAACUGGUGUCCCAAAGGCAAGGGGAGAGAAGGCCCCCGAAGCAGAUUCUCCAGAACUGAUAUUUACCCACAGUUCCAGGUCUCUCCAUGAAACGGCAAACAGACCACACCGAAGGGUAAGCACGUCACUGCCCCGCUGCUGAAAACACAGACAAAGACAAAAAGUCAAAGAAGAUUUUCCUGUCUCCAGAGGUACGUGACAGCCGACUGCAACAGCAAUGAAGCUAGGGAGCGAUCGAAUGACAGAGUAAUUAAGGAAAAAACUGCCAACUUCUAAUUUUAAAAAAUCUUAAUGUUUUAUUUAACACAACAUAUUCGAAACAUCAUGACUAAAACAUGUAAUCAAUACACAAUUAUUAACACUUUUUUUAUACUAAGUUUUCAGAAUCCUGUGUCCUAUUUACACUUCCAGGCUCUCCACGUUUGGAGUCACUGUGUUCUGAGUACUCAACAGACACGCGACUUACGACAACCAUAUUAGACAGCAACCUGUAUUUUUUUUACUUAGAAACAAAAAUAUCAUGCAAGAAUGAAGGUAAAAUAAUGGCAUUUUCAGAUAAACAAAAAUAGAAUUUAUUGCCAGCAGGAAUUCACUAAAAGAAAUACUAAAGAAGGUUCUUUGUUUUUUGUUUUGUUUUGUUUUGGGGGGCAGGUAAUUUAUUUAUUUUAAAUGGAGGUACUAAGGAUUGAACCCAGGACCUCGAGCAUGCUAGGCAUGCACUCUACCACUGAGCUGUACCCAACCUCCCAAAGGAAGUUUUCUGGGCAAUAGGAAAAUUGCUCCAGAUGGAAAUGAAGAAAGGAAUAAAGACCAAAUGUAUAUAAAUGAAAUAUAUAUAAGAUUUUAUAUCUAGAUAUAGAUAUGAUUAUUUUAUGCCAGCUUUUUUAAUUUUUAAAAAUUGUGGCAAAUAUAUAUAUAUAAUGCAGAAUUCACCAUUUUAAUCUUUUUCAAGUGUACAAUUCAGUUGGCAUUAGCUACAUUCACAGUGCUGUCCAGCCAUCACCACUAUCCAUUUCCAGAAUGUUUCACCAUCCCAGAUACUCGGUGCCCAUCAAACAAUACGUCCUUUUCCCUUCUACUCCCAGGCCCCGUUAACCUCUAGUCUACUUUGUUUCUAUGAGUUUGCCUAUUGUAGGUACCUCAUGUUAAGUGGAAUCAUACAAUAUUUGUACUUUGAUGUCUAGCUUAUUUCACUUCGUGUGUUAUCAGGGUUCACCCAUGUGGUAAGUAUGUGCCAGAAUGUCUUUCCUUCUUCAGGCUGAGUAAUAACCCACUGUGUGCAUAUGCCACGCCAUGUCUUAUCUGUUCGUCUGCUGGAAGGCGUUUGGGUUGUUUCUCCCUUCGGCUGUUGUGAACAACGUUGCUAUGAACCGUGGUGUACAAGUUACCUGUCUGAGGCCCUGCUUUCAGUUAUUUGGGGUAUCUAUCUGGAGUGAAAUUGCUAGAUCAUAUGGUAAUUCUAUAUAGAACCUUUUGAGGACCCACUAAACUGUCUUCUAGAGCACUUGGGCGUUUUAUAUUUCUACCGGCAAUGCACAAGUGUUCCAGUUUCUUUCUGCGCGUCCUCGCCAACACGCGCGUCCUGUUGUUGGUAACGGCCCUUUCUAAGGGGUGUGAAGUGGUGUCUCCCUGUGGUUUUGACACACGUUUCACUCGUGGCUAAUCUGCUGUGUCCCCUGCGCGUGCUUAUCGGUCACUUGUAUAUCUUCUUUGGAAAAACAUCUACUUCAGUCCUUUGCCAAUUUUUACCUUUUGCAAAUAUUUUCUCCCAUUCCGUAGGUUUUGGGAAUUUUUAAGUUGGGCUGUCUGACUUUUGUUCUUGUUGAGUUAUAGGAGCACUUUAUAUUCUGGUUAUUAGUUCCUUAUCAGAUAGAAGACUUGCAAAUAUUUUCUCCCAUUCUGUAGGUGGGUUGUCUUUUCAUUCUCCUGAUAGUGUCCUUUGAUGCACAAAAAGUUGUAAUUUUAAUGAAGUCAAAUUUAUUUUUCCUUUUGUUGCCCAUAUUUUUGUUGUCAUAUUGAAGAAGCCACUGCCAAAUCCAAAGUCAUGAAUAAUCAUGUCUGUGUUUUCUUAUAAGAAUUUUAUAGUUGUAGCUCUUAAAUUUAGAACUUUGAUCCAUUUUUCAUUAAUUCUUAUAAAUGGUUGAAUUCUUUGGCAUAUGAAUAUCCAAUUAUCCAAGCACCAGUUGUUGGAGAGACCUUUCUUUCUCCACUGAAUGGUUUUGAAACCUUGUGAAAAUCAUUUGGCCACAGAAGUGACGGUUUAUUUCUGGGCUCUCAAUCUUAUUCCAUUGGUUUGUAUGUCUGUCCCCGUGCCAGCACCACACUUUUGAUCCCUGUUCCCUUAUGAGAAGUUUUCUAACUGGGAAGUGAGUCGUUUUCAAGGUUGUUUUGGCUGUCCUGGGUCCCUGGGAAUCCCACACGAAUUUUAAGAUGGGUUUUUCCAUUUCUAUAGAAAUUGCCAUUGGGGCUGGAGUCUGGGAGGGACUGCACUGCUUUAGGCAGCACUGCCAUCUUACCAGUGCUAAGUCUUCCAAACCAUGAGUAUGGGAUGCCUGCUUAUUUAGGUUUACGUGUUUUGUGGUGACGGUUCUUUCACCAAUGUCUCAGUGUACACAUUUUGCGCCUACUUGGUUAAAUUUAUUCCUAAUUUAUUCUUUCUGAUGCUAUUGAAAAUGGAAUUUUCUUAAUUUCCCUUUCAGAUUGUUGAUGGUGUAUAGAAAUACAACCGAUUUGUGAAUCUGUACCCUGUAACUGUGAGUGUGCUGUGGAUUACCCAGGGGUCACCUGCAGAUGCUUCUCCUUGUUUCUAACUUGGGUAUCUUGCCUUUCUUUCUCGCCUGAUUGCUCUGGCUAGCGCUUCCAGAACUAUGCUGAAUGUAAGUGAUGAAGGUGAGUGUCUCGUUCCUGACCUUGGGGAACAGCUGUGUCCCUCUGCACUGAGCAUGUUAACUACAGGCUUUUCAUACGUGGCUUCUGUGAUGCUGAGGCACUCUUCUUCUAUUCCUGGCCUGCUGAAUGCUUUUUUUUUUUUCCAUGAAAGGAUGCUGGAUUUUGUCAAAAGCUUUUUUUGCAUCAGUUGAGAUGAUCAUGUGUUUAUUUCUACUAAUGUGGUGUACUGAUUUUCAUAGGUUGAGCCACUCUUGCAGUCCUGAAAAAACACCAGUCACUGUGUAACCCUUUCGACAUGCUGCCAAAUCCAGGGCGCGAGCACUUCGUCGAAGAUUUUUGCAUCUGUAUUCACGAGAUAUUUACUCUGCCGUUUCCUUUUCCUGUAGUGUCUUUGUGUGGCUUCAGUAUCAGGACAUUACUGACUUCACAAAAUGAGUUAGAAGUGUUUCCUCUUCCUCUUGAAUUUUUUGGAAGAAUUUGAAAAAGAUUCUUUUUUUUUUUUUUUUUAACACAUUUGCUAGACUCUCUCCAUGAAGCCAUCUGGUUCCGGGCUUCUCUCCGCUGGGGUUCUGCACAGUUUCAACCUCAUUUUUAUAGGUCUACUCAUACUUUCUAUCUGUCCUGGAGUCGGUUUUGGUUAGUAUUUCUAGGAACUUGUCCAUCUCAUCUGUUGUCUAAUUUGCUGACAUGCAGGUGUUCACAGUAGUCUUUUAUAAUUCUCAUUUUUGAGAAGUUCGGUGAUGUCCUCUUUGAUUGUUUUUCGUAGUUUGAGUCUUCCCUCUUGCUUAGUCAGCCUAGCUGAAGGUCUGUCAAUUUUGUUGACCUCCUCAAAGAAACAACUUCCGGUGUCCUUGGUUUUCUCUAUUGUUUUCUAGCCUCAACUUCAUCUCUCUGCUUUGUUCUUUAUCGCUUCCCUUCUGCUAGCUUUGAGUUUACUUUGCUCUUUUUAGUUCCUUAAGGCAAACAAUUAGGGUGUUGAUUUGAUCUUCUGACGUAGACGUCUGCAACUGUAAAUAUCCCUGUGAGCACUGCUCACUGCCUUCCCUAAGUUUUGGACGUUGUGUUUUCAUUUUUGUUCUUCUCAAGGUAAUUUCUAAUUUCCUUUGAACCGCUGGGUUGUUUAAAAGUAUGUUGUUUAAUAUCUACAUGUUUGUGAGUUUUCCUGAAUGUUCACUCUCUAUAAUCCAUUAAUUUCACACUUAGGUGUAUGUCCAACAGGUAUGUGAGCAAAAUUGUACCAAGAGACAAACACAAAACACAAUGUUCAGUUUGGCUAUUAAUAGCCAAAAAAGCUUAAAUGACUGAAAGAAUGGAUAAAAUGAAGCAUCGUCAUCUAAGGAUAUACUAUACCGGAAAGAAAAAGAACAAACUACACAACGAAAACUACACAACGAGAACGCAUCCCACUAAUCUAAUAUUGAGCAAUAGAAGCCACGCCUCUCCAAAAAAUACACAUUGUGAUUCCAUCUACUUAAAGUUCAAAUAACAGACCAAGUAAAUUAUGUGAUUAA